UACGUAGGGGGCGAGCGUUGUCCGGAUUCAUUGGGCGUAAAGCGCUUUAAGGCGGUUCGCUAAGUCGCGUGUGAAACCUCCAGGCUCAACCUGGAGACGCCACGCGAUACUGGCGUGACUAGAGUUCGGUAGGGGAUCACGGAAUUCCUGGUGUAGCGGUGAAAUGCGCAGAUAUCAGGAGGAACACCGGUGGCGAAGGCGGUGCUCUGGGCCUUACCUGACGCUGAGGCACGAAAGCGUGGGGAGCAAACAGG
This 254-nucleotide ribosomal RNA is filed under the name uncultured bacterium. Its description in RNAcentral is "partial 16S ribosomal RNA". It matches the Rfam family "Bacterial small subunit ribosomal RNA", at positions 524 to 776 of the family's 1533-position model. The record is from RNAcentral.